Molecule: ribosomal RNA, 564 nt
Filed under: uncultured bacterium
Lineage: Bacteria
Description: bacterial SSU rRNA
Rfam family: Bacterial small subunit ribosomal RNA
Source: RNAcentral
GCAAGUCGAGCGGAAACGAAGAGGUGCUUGCACCUCUGGCGUCGAGCGGCGGACGGGUGAGUAAUGCUUGGGAAUAUGCCUUAUGGUGGGGGACAACAGUUGGAAACGACUGCUAAUACCGCAUGAUGUCUACGGACCAAAGUGGGGGACCUUCGGGCCUCACGCCAUAAGAUUAGCCCAAGUGGGAUUAGCUAGUUGGUGAGGUAAUGGCUCACCAAGGCGACGAUCCCUAGCUGGUUUGAGAGGAUGAUCAGCCACACUGGGACUGAGACACGGCCCAGACUCCUACGGGAGGCAGCCGUGGGGAAUAUUGCACAAUGGGCGCAAGCCUGAUGCAGCCAUGCCGCGUGUGUGAAGAAGGCCUUCGGGUUGUAAAGCACCUUCAGUAAGGAGGAAAGGUUAAGUGUUAAUAGCACUUAGCUGUGACGUUACUUACAGAAGAAGCACCGGCUAACUCCGUGCCAGCAGCCGCGGUAAUACGGAGGGUGCGAGCGUCAAUCGGAAUUACUGCGCGUAAAGCGUACGCAGGCGGUUUGUUAAGCGAGAUGUGAAAGCCCCGGGCUC